AUGAAUCUCCUAGCUUGGAACUGUCGGGGACUGGGGUUGGACUCGACAGUUGGUGAAUUACGGGAUCUUAUUCGAUCUCACAACCCUGCGGUGGUUUUUCUUUCGGAAACAAAAAAAUCAGUGACAGUGAUGGAGCGGUUGAAGUGGAGUUUGGGUUUUACUAGCGGUGUUGCGGUGGGAUGCAAAGGGAGGAGUGGGGGUUUAGCUUUGUGGUGGAGGGAUCAUUUGCAGGUCAAGGUAAGGCCGUGGAGCCAGUAUUUCAUCGAUGCAGAGGUGGAGUGGGAAGGAAAGACCCAUAGGAUCACUGGAUUCUAUGGGGAGCCAAAAACAGAACUUCGUAAAAAGUCAUGGGACGCUCUCCGGUACCUCCGUGCCCGGGACAACCUACCUUGGCUUUGUGUUGGGGAUUUCAACGAGGCCCUCUUCCGCACGGAUCAAGUAGGGGGAAAUCCGAGAUGCUUUAAUCAGAUGGAGGAUUUUCGAGAUUGCCUUUCAGAGUGUGGCCUCGCAGAUCUUGGUUUUUCAGGCUACCCCUACACUUGGGAUAACAAAAGAGAUGGUCUUGACAAUACCAGGUGA
RNAcentral lists this ribosomal RNA (579 nucleotides) under Triticum aestivum (bread wheat). Its description in RNAcentral is "partial small subunit ribosomal RNA". The record is from RNAcentral. Lineage: Eukaryota; Viridiplantae; Streptophyta; Magnoliopsida; Poales; Poaceae.